Molecule: ribosomal RNA, 163 nt
Filed under: uncultured bacterium
Lineage: Bacteria
Description: partial 16S ribosomal RNA
Rfam family: Bacterial small subunit ribosomal RNA
Source: RNAcentral
GACGCCGCGUGUGGGAUGAAGCCUUUCGGGGUGUAAACCACUGUCAGAAGGGAAGAAACUCGUGCUUUCGAAUAGGGAGUGCGAUUGACGGUACCUUCAGAGGAAGCACCGGCUAACUCCGUGCCAGCACCCUCGGUGACUGAGCGGGCUGGCAAGGCGCAUA